This 314-nucleotide unclassified non-coding RNA is filed under the name plant metagenome. Its description in RNAcentral is "partial contains 5.8S ribosomal RNA, internal transcribed spacer 2, and large subunit ribosomal RNA". The stretch from base 1 to 105 matches the Rfam family "5.8S ribosomal RNA", at positions 50 to 154 of the family's 154-position model. The record is from RNAcentral.
GAAAUGCGAUAAUUAAUGUGAAUUGCAGAAUUCAGUGAAUCAUCGAGUCUUUGAACGCACAUUGCGCCCCCUGGUAUUCCGGGGGGCAUGCCUGUCCGAGCGUCAUUGCUGCACUCAAGCACGGCUUGUGUGUUGGGCUUCCGUCCCUGGCAACGGGGACGGGCCCAAAAGGCAGUGGCGGCACCAUGUCUGGUCCUCGAGCGUAUGGGGCUUUGUCACCCGCUCCCGUAGGUCCAGCUGGCAGCUAGCCUCGCAACCAAUCUUUUUAACCAGGUUGACCUCAGAUCAGGUAGGGAUACCCGCUGAACUUAAGC